UAACUUCGGUGUGAGUAGAGUGGCGGACGGGUGAGUAACGCGUGGGAAUCUACCCAGUAGUGGGGGACAACUACCGGAAACGGUAGCUAAUACCGCAUACGCCCUAUGGGGGAAAGGCUUCGGCCGCUAUUGGAUGAGCCCGCGUCAGAUUAGCUAGUUGGUAGGGUAAAGGCCUACCAAGGCAACGAUCUGUAGCUGGUCUGAGAGGACGAACAGUCACACUGGGACUGAGACACGGCCCAGACUCCUACGGGAGGCAGCAGUGGGGAAUAUUGGACAAUGGGCGAAAGCCUGAUCCAGCAAUGCCGCGUGUGUGAAGAAGGCCUGCGGGUUGUAAAGCACUUUCAGUUGGGAAGAUGAUGACGUUACCAACAGAAGAAGCACCGGCUAAAUCCGUGCCAGCAGCCGCGGUAAUACGGAUGGUGCGAGCGUUAAUCGGAAUUACUGGGCGUAAAGCGCGCGUAUGCGGCUAAGUCAGUCAGAAGUGAAAGCCCCGGGCUCAACCUGGGAAUUGCUUUUGAUACUGCUUAGCUAGAGUUUGGUAGAGGAUAGUGGAAUUCCAGGUGUAGCGGUGAAAUGCGUAGAUAUCUGGAGGAACAUCAGUGGCGAAGGCGACUGUCUGGACCAAAACUGACGCUGAGGUGCGAAAGCGUGGGUAGCAAACAGGAUUAGAUACCCUGGUAG
RNAcentral lists this ribosomal RNA (684 nucleotides) under uncultured Gammaproteobacteria bacterium. RNAcentral describes it as "bacterial SSU rRNA". It matches the Rfam family "Bacterial small subunit ribosomal RNA", at positions 75 to 793 of the family's 1533-position model. Lineage: Bacteria; Pseudomonadati; Pseudomonadota; Gammaproteobacteria. The record is from RNAcentral.